GACAGAUGGCUCAGUGGUUAAGAGCACUGACUGCUCUUCCAGAGGUCCUGAGUUCAAUUCCUAGCAGCCA
Molecule: transfer RNA, 70 nt
Filed under: Mus musculus (house mouse)
Lineage: Eukaryota; Metazoa; Chordata; Mammalia; Rodentia; Muridae
Description: tRNA-Ser
Source: RNAcentral